UGAGCAGUUUAGAUCUGUAAAGCAGUGUGGAAUGGAGUGAUAUGAUUCCCUUGGGUUGGGGUCACAAAUAUGGCAGGUUUUUAACCCCCCUGGUUGAUUUUAACUCCAGUGCUGGGAGAAUCAGAACUUUUUAAUUCAAGUGAACGAAGAUGUUUUUUUCAUCUUCAACCCUGAGGCUGGGAGCCCAACAGAAACCGAGAAGAAACCUUGGUUGGAUUCUCCUGGUUAUCCUAAGUACAUCACACUCGGUUUCUGGGUUCCAGAGAAGCCGGGGUGAUAUAGCUUUCUCUUCAAAUGAUUUUGGGAGCACUGAUUCAGGGCCUACUUUUGAAAUACCAGGUCGGGUGUCUUUUCAGUUUAACGGUGAUGUAUCGCGUCGCCAAUCUCAAGGGGGGCAACGAGAUUGUGGCAGGGGUGAGGGGGGCUGUGGAUCCUGCACCCCCAAAUGUUUAGGAGAAAAGGGGUCCAUGGGUCCCCCUGGUAUCCCUGGCUCAGAGGGUCCCAAGGGCCGCCAAGGGUUUGUUGGCAUGGAGGGGUUACCAGGACCUAAGGGUAGUAUUGGCAACCCUGGAGUUCAGGGACCCCGGGGAAUGAAGGGGGACCGGGGGAAAAUGGGAAUGCCAGGUUUCCCUGGAAUAAAUGGACUGCCUGGACUCCAGGGACCCCCUGGACUACGAGGUCUUGAUGGACUGGACGGAUGCAACGGGACCGAUGGUUUGCCGGGGAAAAUGGGGUUUCCGGGUUCUCAAGGUGAGAAGGGAAACAUGGGGUAUCCCGGAGAGAAAGGAGAGAGAGGAGAACCAGCCUAUGUUCCACCAGCUCCUAAAGGACAGAAAGGAGAACCAGGACAAAACGGAUAUCCUGGAGAACCGGGUAGACCAGGACAACCAGGAUAUCCGGGUACUAAGGGAGACAGGGGACUGGACGGAGUAGAUGGUAGACCAGGAUAUGACGGGCAGAAGGGCGAGAAGGGGAGUAUGGGAUUAAGAGCUGAAGGAGAAAAGGGGGAUAAAGGACAGAAAGGACGACCAGGGCCCCCAGGGAAUGUGGAACUACCAAACUUUACGGUUAAUCAAACUUUCAUUGGACCAAAGGGAGAUACAGGACCCAUGGGGGACCAGGGACCAAAAGGAGAUAAAGGACUUCGUGGAGAAACUGGACUACCUGGACCUCAAGGAAUGACAGGACGAGUUGGACCUAAAGGAGAGAAGGGACUACCUGGUAGUCCAGGGCCUAGGGGUAAAGAGGGUCCUUUCGGACCUCCCGGUCCCAUGGGUCAGAAAGGAGAUCAAGGGAACAAUGGAUAUGAUGGAUUAUCUGGUAGACCCGGAGCCAAGGGAGAACCAGGGAGACCUGGCAGGGACGGAGAAUCAGGGCUCGAGGGACCACCAGGAGCACCAGGGGGAGGACCAAAGGGUGGACCACCAGGACCUCCUGGUCCACGAGGGUUUCCUGGACCACCGGGACCACCAGGACAGGACGGAUCAGACGGAGAAACAGGAAAACCAGGACCUGAAGGUCCAGUGGGAGGACUUGGACUCCCAGGUUUACCAGGGUUAGAGGGACCACCAGGAGAGAAAGGAGAGAAAGGAAACUCUGGUUUGCCAGGUUUCCCUGGUUCUCCGGGUCUUCGGGGAGAAAGAGGAAACCCUGGAGCUACAGGAAUAAAUGGAGAGAAGGGACAGAAAGGAGAAUCCAUUGCCGGUCCUCCUGGAAGGGAUGGAUUAAACGGAAUGCCAGGACGAACUGGACAAAAAGGAGAGCGAGGUUUUCCAGGGCCCAGAGGUGUACCCGGAGAUGCUCCAGGAACUCCAGGGCCCCCUGGAUCCCCAGGAGACAGGGGUCCAUCUGGUAUACCAGGGUUGUCAGGAGUGAAUGGUGAGAAGGGGGACAAGGGAGAUAAAGGAUUGAAAGGAGGUGAGUGUGCAGUCUGUUUCCCUGGGAUGAAAGGAGAGAAAGGAGGACCUGGAAGGAACGGGUUGGAUGGUAUACCAGGAGAAAGAGGACCUCCCGGAGGUCGAGGAGUAACAGGAGAACGUGGAGAUGAUGGACAACCUGGACCUCCAGGACCUGUUGGACCAAUGGGAGAAGCAGGAAGGGCUGGAGCACCAGGACCUAAAGGAGAAAAAGGAAAAGAUGCAUUUCUACCUAAUGUUGUUGGACCUCCAGGACCUAGAGGAGGUCGAGGUGAACCUGGUCUCCUUGGAGUAGAUGGACAAAAGGGAGGCCCAGGUCUACCUGGACCUGUCGGAAUGCCUGGACCACAGGGUGACAAGGGAAACCCCGGUCCACCCGGGAAAGAUGGACUUCCUGGAAGAGAUGGACAACCUGGACCACCGGGUAUACCUGGUCCCAAGGGAGAUGGGCAGAAAGGAGAUCCUGGACCCAAAGGAGAUACCGGACCACAAGGUCCCAAGGGAGAUACAGGACCUGUUGGAGAACGAGGGGAUCCUGCAAAAUGUCCAGCUGUAGAGGAACUACGGAAAGGUAUAAAAGGAGAAAAAGGAGAUGGAGGAUUGAACGGGAAGGACGGAGAAAAAGGAGAUCGAGGACCGCAAGGUAUAAUUGGUUUACCAGGACAGAAAGGAGAUCAAGGACAGAAAGGAGAAAUUGGUCCUUAUGGACCUCCCGGUCCUAACGGAGUAAAGGGUGACCGGGGAGUCCCUGGUGUUGAAGGUUUGCCCGGUCCCCCAGGUCGGGACGGAUUCCCUGGUAUAGCUGGUAUCAUCGGAGAUAAGGGAGAUAAAGGAUUACCCGGUAGACCAGGAGUAGGACCUCCUGGACCACCUGGACAACCUGGACUCAAGGGAGAGAAUGGACUUCCUGGACUACCGGGGAAAAAUGGACCACCUGGAACACCGGGUUUGCUUGGCAUGCCAGGUAUCAAGGGGGACCUGGGAGCUGUAGGACUACCUGGUCUCAACGGUAUCAAAGGAGAUCUUGGAUAUCCAGGUGUCCCUGGUCCCCCUGGUCCUGCAGGACCUGCCGGACCUCCAGGUAGGGACGGAACCAAGGGUCUACCAGGACUACCAGGACAGCAGGGUCCUCCAGGUAUAUCAGGAGUACCGGGUAUGAAAGGGAACAAGGGAGAAGAAGGACGUGAAGGACCAAAGGGGUAUCCUGGUAUGCCAGGACGCCCUGGAACUCCAGGACUUCAGGGACUUGAUGGACUUCCAGGACAGAAGGGUCUUCAGGGAGAGAAGGGGUUAAACGGGUUUCCUGGCCUGCCUGGUUCUCCGGGUCCUGCUGGAGUCCCUGGUCUACCUGGAUCCAAGGGGGACAAGGGAAACCUUGGUCUCCAGGGUCUACCCGGACCAAGGGGACAGGAAGGAAUGAAGGGAGACAGAGGACUCACAGGACCUAUGGGUCCUCGAGGUUUACCUGGAACUGCUGCGGCUAAGGGAGAACCAGGAUAUCCUGGUGCACCUGGAGAAAAGGGUUCUACUGGUCCCCCAGGUAGAGAUGGAGUACCUGGAGUUAAAGGAGAAACUGGUUUGGCAGGGUUCGGUAGACCUGGAGAAAAAGGAGAUAAGGGAGACCGUGGACUUUCUGGUCCACCCGGACUUCCAGGUCUUAAUGGUCUUAAGGGUAAUGCGGGCCUGCCAGGGUUCCCUGGACUUAAAGGACAGAUUGGAUUGAAAGGAGAUGUUGGACCGUCUGGUAUACCAGGGAUAGAUGGGACUCCAGGAGCUAAAGGAGAACCAGGGUUCAUGGGAAUAUCCGGACGCCCUGGACUAAAAGGAGACCGAGGAUAUACUGGAGUAUCUGGUAUGGAUGGUAGACCAGGACAGCCUGGAGUAGAAGGUUUGAAGGGUAACCAAGGGUUUGACGGACCGAUGGGACCUAAAGGAGAUCGUGGAAUGGACGGUUUGCCAGCCUCUCCAGGUGUCAAGGGAGACAAGGGAGACCAAGGAAUGACUGGACUUCCAGGAAAGGACGGAUUGAAAGGGGAACUAGGAAACCCAGGACCACCGGGAGAACCAGGGUUUACCGGGUUGCCAGGAGACAAGGGAGAUCGAGGUAUACCUGGAAUACCUGGCAGGAACGGAAUGAAAGGAGAAAUGGGAUUUCAGGGACCAACAGGGAUACCAGGCCUUAGUUCAAAGGGAGAGAAAGGACUACCAGGACUACCUGGUAAACAAGGACGACCAGGGAUGCCUGGACAACCGGGAACUAAAGGAGACGCUGGUCCUCCAGGUCUACCUGGUAUACAGGGAAUACCGGGGGAUAACGGAUACCCUGGUAGACCAGGAGAAAAGGGAGAUAAUGGUAGACCAGGGAUACCAGGUAUCACUGGACCACCCGGUCCCACAGGAAAUAAAGGAAACCUAGGUCCUACAGGAUUCCCUGGUAGGAAGGGAGAUAUUGGACCACCGGGAUAUCAGGGCCCUCCAGGGGAUAAGGGAUACAACGGACCACCAGGAGAAAAUGGACUUCCAGGACUCCCGGGAAUGAAAGGAGACAAAGGAAUGACCGGGAUGCCCGGACCAUCAGGACCACAGGGACUACAGGGGGUCAAGGGAGAGUUCGGUCCUCCAGGAGAGUUUGGACUUGCCGGACCACCCGGACUUACAGGACGGGACGGAUCUCCAGGAUUUCCAGGUUUAAAAGGAAUACAAGGACCUCCCGGGUUAAAUGGACCACCUGGAAAACCUGGAUUGUCAGGACGACCUGGUCCUCCUGGUUCUCCAGGUAUGCCCGGAAUCAAAGGAGAUAUGGGACUCCCUGGACUAGAUGGUAGACCUGGGGGACCUGGACCUACUGGACCUAAAGGAGAACAAGGUUUCGAUGGAAUGCCUGGAGCUCCGGGGCGGCCUGGUUUGCCCGGGUUAAAAGGUCAAGACGGGCAAACAUGUGUCGAGGACCGGCAGGUACCUACCGGUCAUCUUCUGGUUCGGCACAGUCAGAGUUCCUCUAUACCUCUCUGUGAACCUGGAACCACAAAACUGUGGGACGGAUAUUCUCUACUUUAUGUUGAAGGAAACGAGAAAUCUCAUCACCAAGAUCUAGGUAUGCCAGGUUCUUGUGUUGCUAGAUUCAACACAAUGCCGUUCUUAUUCUGUGACUUUAACGAUGUCUGCAAUUAUGCGAGCAGGAAUGAUAAGUCCUACUGGCUGUCUACAAUAGCUCCGAUACCUAUGAUGCCUGUAGCAGACUAUGCUAUCAGGGAUUAUAUAAGCAGGUGUGUUGUAUGUGAGGUUGAGAGUAAUGUACUGGCAGUACAUAGUCAGGAUAUGAAUGUACCAGAUUGUCCCCAGGACUGGGAGGGAUUAUGGAUCGGAUACAGCUUUGUCAUGCAUACAGCAGCCGGAGCUGAGGGUGGAGGACAGGCCCUGUCUAGCUCCGGGUCCUGUCUGGAGGACUUCAGGGCUACUCCCUUCAUAGAAUGCAACGGAGCCCGGGGUACCUGCCAUUAUUUUGCAAAUAAAUUCUCCUUCUGGUUGGCAACUGUAGAUUCAAAUAAUAUGUUCUCCAGACCUGUCUCUCAGACAUUAAAGGCCGGAAACCAGAGAGCCAGAGUCUCUAGGUGUCAGGUUUGCAGGAGAACCGGAUAGAACAGGUCACUAAUCAGAUGGCGGAUGGUGCUAUGGAAACACAUUUUUUGGAGGAAACGGACCCGAAAAAAGAGGAAACUGAUCAACAAACUGAGAAUUUGAAACUUUUACUGAAAAUCGGAAAUGGACCCAAAAUAAGAGGAAACGGACCCAAAAAAAGAGGAAAUAGAUCAACAAACUGAAAGUUUAAAACUUUUUCCGAAAACUGGAAACUGACCCAAAAAAAGAGGAAACGGACCAAAAAAACGGGAAACAAAUCAAAUGUGUAUAUAUUGCUGAAACCGACCCAAAAUAUUCAGAAAUCCCUCAACACUUUUUAGUUUUUGAGGAAUUUCAGAUAAUUCUUGAAAAAAGAAGGAAACGGACCCAAACUCAUUUUUGGGUCCGUUUCCGUGUGGAGGCGUUUCCAUAUCACCAGGGAAUUUCACCAUUAAAUUUUUUUUAAUGGGAUUGGAAAAUUCCUUUACAACACUUUUUAUUAAAGAAACUUUUUGAAUUCUAAAUGUACCUUAAAAUUUUAAUAAAGGAAAUUCUUGAAAA
RNAcentral lists this unclassified non-coding RNA (6095 nucleotides) under Eurytemora carolleeae. RNAcentral describes it as "collagen alpha-2(IV) chain". The record is from RNAcentral. Lineage: Eukaryota; Metazoa; Arthropoda; Copepoda; Calanoida; Temoridae.